GAGGGUGUAGCUCAAGUGGUAGAGCACAUGCUUAGCAUGCACAAGGUCCUGGGUUCAAUCCCCAGUACCUCCU
Molecule: transfer RNA, 73 nt
Organism: Camelus ferus (Wild Bactrian camel)
Lineage: Eukaryota; Metazoa; Chordata; Mammalia; Artiodactyla; Camelidae
Rfam family: tRNA
About the family: Transfer RNA (tRNA) molecules are approximately 80 nucleotides in length. Their secondary structure includes four short double-helical elements and three loops (D, anti-codon, and T loops).
Source: Rfam